GAUGAAGAACGUAGCGAAAUGCGAUAAGUAAUGUGAAUUGCAGAAUUCCGUGAAUCAUCGAAUCAUUGAACGCACAUUGCGCCCCCUGGCAUUCCGGGGGGCAUGCCUGUCCGAGCGUCAUUUCUGCCCUCCAGCCCGGCUGGGUGUUGGGCGCUGUCCCCCCGGGGACACGCCCCAAAGGCAGUGGCGGCGCCGCGUCGGGUCCUCGAGCGUAUGGGGCUUUGUCACCCGCUCGGGACGGACUCGUCGGCGCUGGUCUUCCUCCAGGCGACCCUUCGGGGCUCGUCUUCCUUCGGUUGACCUCGGAUCAGGUAGGGUUACCCGCUGAACUUAAGCAUAUCAAUAAGCGGAGGA
This 354-nucleotide unclassified non-coding RNA is filed under the name soil metagenome. Its description in RNAcentral is "partial contains 5.8S ribosomal RNA, internal transcribed spacer 2, and large subunit ribosomal RNA". The stretch from base 1 to 120 matches the Rfam family "5.8S ribosomal RNA", at positions 35 to 154 of the family's 154-position model. The record is from RNAcentral.